RNAcentral lists this ribosomal RNA (444 nucleotides) under uncultured bacterium. RNAcentral describes it as "partial 16S ribosomal RNA". It matches the Rfam family "Bacterial small subunit ribosomal RNA", at positions 339 to 795 of the family's 1533-position model. The record is from RNAcentral.
CUACGGGGGGCACCAGUGGGGAAUAUUGCACAAUGGGCGCAAGCCUGAUGCAGCAACGCCGCGUGAGGGAUGAAGGCCUUCGGGUUGUAAACCUCUUUUAGCAGGGAAGAAGCGAAAGUGACGGUACCUGCAGAAAAAGCACCGGCUAACUACGUGCCAGCAGCCGCGGUAAUACGUAGGGUGCAAGCGUUGUCCGGAAUUAUUGGGCGUAAAGAGCUCGUAGGCGGUUUGUCACGUCUGCUGUGAAAAUCCAAGGCUCAACCCUGGACUUGCAGUGGGUACGGGCAGGCUAGAGUGCGGUAGGGGAGAUGGGAAUUCCUGGUGUAGCGGUGGAAUGCGCAGAUAUCAGGAGGAACACCGAUGGCGAAGGCACAUCUCUGGGCCGUAACUGACGCUGAGGAGCGAAAGCGUGGGGAGCGAACAGGAUUAGAUACCCUGGUAGUC